RNAcentral lists this ribosomal RNA (492 nucleotides) under uncultured bacterium. RNAcentral describes it as "partial 16S ribosomal RNA". It matches the Rfam family "Bacterial small subunit ribosomal RNA", at positions 29 to 507 of the family's 1533-position model. The record is from RNAcentral.
AGUGAACGCUGGCGGUAGGCCUAACACAUGCAAGUCGAACGGCAGCACAGUAAGAGCUUGCUCUUACGGGUGGCGAGUGGCGGACGGGUGAGGAAUACAUCGGAAUCUACUUUUUCGUGGGGGAUAACGUAGGUAAACUUACGCUAAUACCGCAUACGACCUACGGGUGAAAGCAGGGGAUCUUCGGACCUUGCGCGAUUGAAUGAGCCGCUGUCGGAUUAGCUAGUUGGCGGGGUAAAGACCCACCAAGGCGACGAUCCGUAGCUGGUCUGAGAGGAUGAUCAGCCACACUGGAACUGAGACACGGUCCAGACUCCUAGGGGAGGCAGAAGUGGGGAAUAUUGGACAGUGGGCGCAAGCCUGAUCCAACCAUACCGCGUGGGUGGAAAAGGCCUUCGGGUUGUAAAGCCCUUUUGUUGGGAAAGAAAAGCAGCAGGUUGAUACCCCGCUGUUCUGACGGUACCCAAAGAAUAAGCACGGGCUAACUUCGUG